This 73-nucleotide transfer RNA is filed under the name Ixodes scapularis (black-legged tick). It matches the Rfam family "tRNA". From Rfam's summary of the family: Transfer RNA (tRNA) molecules are approximately 80 nucleotides in length. Their secondary structure includes four short double-helical elements and three loops (D, anti-codon, and T loops). Further hydrogen bonds mediate the characteristic L-shaped molecular structure. tRNAs have two regions of fundamental functional importance: the anti-codon, which is responsible for specific mRNA codon recognition, and the 3' end, to which the tRNAs corresponding amino acid is attached (by aminoacyl-tRNA synthetases). tRNAs cope with the degeneracy of the genetic code in two manners: having more than one tRNA (with a specific anti-codon) for a particular amino acid; and 'wobble' base-pairing, i.e. permitting non-standard base-pairing at the 3rd anti-codon position. The record is from Rfam by way of RNAcentral. Lineage: Eukaryota; Metazoa; Arthropoda; Arachnida; Ixodida; Ixodidae.
UCCUGGUUAGCUCAGUGGGCAGAGCGUUCCACUGUAAAUGGAGAGGACCUUGAUUUGAUGCCAGGACCAGGUG